This 254-nucleotide ribosomal RNA is filed under the name uncultured bacterium. Its description in RNAcentral is "partial 16S ribosomal RNA". It matches the Rfam family "Bacterial small subunit ribosomal RNA", at positions 524 to 776 of the family's 1533-position model. The record is from RNAcentral.
UACGUAGGGUCCGAGCGUUGUCCGGAUUUAUUGGGCGUAAAGAGCUCGUAGGCUGUUCGAUAAGUCGGGUGUGAAACCUCCAGGCUCAACCUGGAGACGCCACCCGAUACUGUCAUGACUAGAGUCCGGUAGGGGAGCGUGGAAUUCCUGGUGUAGCGGUGAAAUGCGCAGAUAUCAGGAGGAACACCGGUGGCGAAGGCGGUUCUCUGGGCCUGUACUGACGCUGAGGAACGAAAGCGUGGGGAGCGAACAGG